GACGAACGCUGGCGGCGUGCUUAACACAUGCAAGUCGAACGGUAAGGCCCUUCGGGGUACACGAGUGGCGAACGGGUGAGUAACACGUGGGUGAUCUGCCCUGCACUUCGGGGUAAGCCUGGGAAACUGGGUCUAAUACCGGAUAGGACCACUGCCUGCAUGGGUGGUGGUGGAAAGCUUUUGCGGUGUGGGAUGGGCCCGCGGCCUAUCAGCUUGUUGGUGGGGUGAUGGCCUACCAAGGCGACGACGGGUAGCCGGCCUGAGAGGGUGACAGGCCACACUGGGACUGAGAUACGGCCCAAACUCCUACGGGAGGCAGCAGUGGGGAAUAUUGCACAAUGGGCGCAAGCCUGAUGCAGCGACGCCGCGUGAGGGAUGACGGCCUUCGGGUUGUAAACCUCUUUCAGCACCGACGAAGCGCAAGUGACGGUAGGUGCAGAAGAAGGACCGGCCAACUACGUGCCAGCCGCCGCCGCGG
RNAcentral lists this ribosomal RNA (478 nucleotides) under uncultured bacterium. Its description in RNAcentral is "partial 16S ribosomal RNA". It matches the Rfam family "Bacterial small subunit ribosomal RNA", at positions 28 to 523 of the family's 1533-position model. The record is from RNAcentral.